Non-coding RNA from Paramuricea clavata, 214 nucleotides. The record is from the annotation of a GenBank genome assembly. NCBI's taxonomy places the organism in Eukaryota, Metazoa, Cnidaria, Anthozoa, Malacalcyonacea, Plexauridae.
CAUCAGCGCAAAUUCAGAUAUGUCCCCACCACCACCACCGCUAAAAUAGAGAUCAACCAAAGUUGUAAGCACAACUAGAAAGACCCAAAAACAUGUAUAAAAGCAAAUGGUUGACGCGAGGCAGCGGCAAUGGUGGUGGAAGUCAUAUCAGAACCCCACCAAUAUCCUUUUAAACUACUCCGUUGACAUAGAAACGACAAAAGUGUUCCUAAAA